This 460-nucleotide ribosomal RNA is filed under the name Sabatieria sp. RNAcentral's name for it is "SSU rRNA". It matches the Rfam family "Eukaryotic small subunit ribosomal RNA", at positions 482 to 945 of the family's 1831-position model. Lineage: Eukaryota; Metazoa; Nematoda; Chromadorea; Araeolaimida; Comesomatidae. The record is from RNAcentral.
GAGACGGAUCUCUUUGAGGCCCGUUAUCGGAAUGAGAACAAUUCAAAUCCUUUAACGAGGAUCUAGCGGAGGGCAAGUCUGGUGCCAGCAGCCGCGGUAAUUCCAGCUCCGCAGGUGUAUAUCUAUGCUGCUGCGGUUAAGAAGCUCGUAGUUGGAUCUGCGUGCUCGGAACUGGUUGGCUCACUGAGUUUAAACUGGUCUCCGGCGCUUUAUCGGCUGGUUUUCCCUUGAUGCUCUUAACCGGGUGUCUUGGGUGGCUAGCACGUUUACUUUGAAAAAAUUAGAGUGCUCAAUACAGGCGCAAAGCCUUGAAUAGUGGUGCAUGGAAUAAUAGAAUAGGACCUUGGUUCUAUUUUGUUGGUUUUCGGAACACGAGGUAAUGAUUAAGAGGGACAGACGGGGGCAUUCGUAUUGCGACGUUAGAGGUGAAAUUCUUGGAUCGUCGCAAGACGGACGACUG